AUUCAUCUCCGGGGGUAGAGCACUGUUUCGGCUAGGGGGCCAUCCCGGCUUACCAACCCGAUGCAAACUGCGAAUACCGGAGAAUGUUAUCACGGGAGACACACGGCGGGUGCUAACGUCCGUCGUGAAGAGGGAAACAACCCAGACCGCCAGCUAAGGUCCCAAAGUCAUGGUUAAGUGGGAAACGAUGUGGGAAGGCCCAGACAGCCAGGAUGUUGGCUUAGAAGCAGCCAUCAUUUAAAGAAAGCGUAAUAGCUCACUGGUCGAGUCGGCCUGCGCGGAAGAUGUAACGGGGCUAAACCAUGCACCGAAGCUGCGGCAGCGACACUGUGUGUUGUUGGGUAGGGGAGCGUUCUGUAAGCCUGUGAAGGUGUGUCGUGAGGCAUGCUGGAGGUAUCAGAAGUGCGAAUGCUGACAUAAGUAACGAUAAAGCGGGUGAAAAGCCCGCUCGCCGGAAGACCAAGGGUUCCUGUCCAACGUUAAUCGGGGCAGGGUGAGUCGACCCCUAAGGCGAGGCCGAAAGGCGUAGUCGAUGGGAAACGGGUUAAUAUUCCCGUACUUGGUGUUACUGCGAAGGGGGGACGGAGAAGGCUAUGUUGGCCGGGCGACGGUUGUCCCGGUUUAAGCGUGUAGGUGUGUGUUCCAGGUAAAUCCGGUUCACUUUAACACUGAGGCGUGACGACGAGGCACUACGGUGCUGAAGCAACAAAUGCCCUGCUUCCAGGAAAAGCCUCUAAGCAUCAGGUAACAUCAAAUCGUACCCCAAACCGACACAGGUGGUCAGGUAGAGAAUACCAAGGCGCUUGAGAGAACUCGGGUGAAGGAACUAGGCAAAAUGGUGCCGUAACUUCGGGAGAAGGCACGCUGACACGUAGGUGAAGUGAUUUACUCAUGGAGCUGAAGUCAGUCGAAGAUACCAGCUGGCUGCAACUGUUUAUUAAAAACACAGCACUGUGCAAACACGAAAGUGGACGUAUACGGUGUGACGCCUGCCCGGUGCCGGAAGGUUAAUUGAUGGGGUCAGCGCAAGCGAAGCUCCUGAUCGAAGCCCCGGUAAACGGCGGCCGUAACUAUAACGGUCCUAAGGUAGCGAAAUUCCUUGUCGGGUAAGUUCCGACCUGCACGAAUGGCGUAAUGAUGGCCAGGCUGUCUCCACCCGAGACUCAGUGAAAUUGAACUCGCUGUGAAGAUGCAGUGUACCCGCGGCAAGACGGAAAGACCCCGUGAACCUUUACUAUAGCUUGACACUGAACAUUGAGCCUUGAUGUGUAGGAUAGGUGGGAGGCUUUGAAGUGUGGACGCCAGUCUGCAUGGAGCCGACCUUGAAAUACCACCCUUUAAUGUUUGAUGUUCUAACGUGGACCCGUUACCCGGGUUGCGGACAGUGUCUGGUGGGUAGUUUGACUGGGGCGGUCUCCUCCUAAAGAGUAACGGAGGAGCACGAAGGUUGGCUAAUCCUGGUCGGACAUCAGGAGGUUAGUGCAAUGGCAUAAGCCAGCUUGACUGCGAGCGUGACGGCGCGAGCAGGUGCGAAAGCAGGUCAUAGUGAUCCGGUGGUUCUGAAUGGAAGGGCCAUCGCUCAACGGAUAAAAGGUACUCCGGGGAUAACAGGCUGAUACCGCCCAAGAGUUCAUAUCGACGGCGGUGUUUGGCACCUCGAUGUCGGCUCAUCACAUCCUGGGGCUGAAGUAGGUCCCAAGGGUAUGGCUGUUCGCCAUUUAAAGUGGUACGCGAGCUGGGUUUAGAACGUCGUGAGACAGUUCGGUCCCUAUCUGCCGUGGGCGCUGGAGAACUGAGGGGGGCUGCUCCUAGUACGAGAGGACCGGAGUGGACGCAUCACUGGUGUUCGGGUUGUCAUGCCAAUGGCACUGCCCGGUAGCUAAAUGCGGAAGAGAUAAGUGCUGAAAGCAUCUAAGCACGAAACUUGCCCCGAGAUGAGUUCUCCCUGAGACUUAAAGUCUCCUGAAGGAACGUUGAAGACGACGACGUUGAUAGGCCGGGUGUGUAAGCGCAGCGAUGCGUUGAGCUAACCGGUACUAAUGAACCGUGAGGCUUAACCUUACAACGCCGAAG
Molecule: ribosomal RNA, 2073 nt
Filed under: Salmonella enterica subsp. enterica serovar Enteritidis
Lineage: Bacteria; Pseudomonadati; Pseudomonadota; Gammaproteobacteria; Enterobacterales; Enterobacteriaceae
Description: partial 23S ribosomal RNA
Rfam family: Bacterial large subunit ribosomal RNA
Source: RNAcentral